This is a transfer RNA of Puccinia triticina 1-1 BBBD Race 1, 86 nucleotides long. It matches the Rfam family "tRNA". Rfam says of the family: Transfer RNA (tRNA) molecules are approximately 80 nucleotides in length. Their secondary structure includes four short double-helical elements and three loops (D, anti-codon, and T loops). The record is from Rfam. NCBI's taxonomy places the organism in Eukaryota, Fungi, Basidiomycota, Pucciniomycetes, Pucciniales, Pucciniaceae.
GCGUCUGUAGCCUAGUUGGUAAAGGCAGCACUCUAGUAUGUGUCUCAGCAUGGCUGAGGUCAUGAGUUCGACUCUCACCAGACACA